UUAUUAUUUUUUAUUGCUUCUUAACUAACAGUUACAAGUACCACCAUGUGUAAAAUAAAAUCAGUUUCAGGAUGACUUCAAGGCCCAAGUUUAUAACAUUGGCAGACUACAGGAGGUGGGAUGAGGCCUGCCAAAGCUAACAGCUAAUUUGGGGAAGUCUACUCUGACAACUUUGGUAAAAUUAACUAAACUCUCCUUAGUCUUUGUUUGCAGAAGUAGUAGUAGCUAGCUAACACAUUCUCAUUGCUUACCAUGUGCCCUUGACUGAGUUAAAUGUGUUAUAUGCAGACAACUGGGGUUGAAACAAGCUGCUACUCAUUAACAGGAUGACUUAACCAUAAAAAUCUUCAAUUUUCUCAUCUGGAAAAUGGGGAUAAUAAGCUCAUAUAAUCUCCUAGGGUUGCUGGGAGAAUUAAAUCAGAAGCUAUGAUAAUAAGGCAGACUGAUGCUUCUGGAGUGUAGCAGAUUGUAUUUUCUAAAAAUGGCCACAAGAAUGUGCUCUCCUAGAACCUUGCCCAUGCCCCCAUCAAGAAGUGGAUGGUUCUUUGUGACAGCCACAAUGAAUAGGAUGUGGUGGAGGUGGUACUGUGUGACUGGCUAAUAAAAGGUGAUAUGGCCUCUGUCUCUCUCCCUGUCCGUACUAUAGGAGUUCUGAACCAUCCUGUGACAAGUCUAGCUACCCUAAAGCUGUCAUGCAGGAGAGAUCAUGUGGAGAGAAGGAGAGUUAGACAGAGGAGGAGCCCCUGCUGUUUGAGUAUUCUCAGCCUAGACACCAGACAUGAGUGAGGAAGCAUUCAGGAAAAGACAGAAGCUGAUUGAGGUCCCAGCUUGGUAACAGUUUGAAGAGUUGCAGGACUGGCUGGAUGAGUACUGGCUGCAGCAAGUCAUGCUGCCAGGAUUCUUUAUGGCUGUUUCUGCUUCCACUACAGCUGAGUCAGAAAGGUCGCUGCCCAGUGGUGGCAGUAGAUGCAGUGGACCUGGCAAGCAAAUGUUUCCGCUAUUAGCUCUCAGCAACAGAGACUCAUUUAUGGUCACCUUGGAAAUCUGGGCUUAUCGAUCUACAGCCCAAGUCUGCUGAGAAGCUGGAGCUUACUAAAGGGGAAACCUGAGAGCUGUUCAAGCCCCAAACAUUUUCCACUUCUGCGUCACCUCUGCUGUCUGUUAGCAGAGUGGAGGAGAAAAUACACCAGCACAAACAACGUGAAAAAAUACUCUAUUCAUUAAAAGCUGUAACUUCCAGACUGGACUUGAGAAGCAAUUAAGCAACAGAGGCACCUCAUCUACUAUCUGUAUUCAGG
RNAcentral lists this non-coding RNA (1298 nucleotides) under Pongo abelii (Sumatran orangutan). Lineage: Eukaryota; Metazoa; Chordata; Mammalia; Primates; Hominidae. The record is from RNAcentral.